RNAcentral lists this ribosomal RNA (403 nucleotides) under Fusobacteriota bacterium. RNAcentral's name for it is "Fusobacteria bacterium partial 16S ribosomal RNA". It matches the Rfam family "Bacterial small subunit ribosomal RNA", at positions 355 to 776 of the family's 1533-position model. Lineage: Bacteria; Fusobacteriati; Fusobacteriota. The record is from RNAcentral.
UGGGGAAUAUUGCACAAUGGAGGGAACUCUGAUGCAGCGACGCCGCGUGAACGAAGAAGGCUUUCGAGUCGUAAAGUUCUUUUAUAUGGGAAGAUAAUGACGGUACUAUAAGAAAAAGCCCCGGCUAACUACGUGCCAGCAGCCGCGGUAAUACGUAGGGGGCUAGCGUUGUCCGGAAUCACUGGGCGUAAAGGGUUCGCAGGCGGAAAUGCAAGUCAGGUGUAAAAGGCAGUAGCUUAACUACUGUAAGCAUUUGAAACUGCAUAUCUUGAGAAGAGUAGAGGUAAGUGGAAUUUUUAGUGUAGCGGUGAAAUGCGUAGAUAUUAAAAAGAAUAACGGUGGCGAAGGCGACUUACUGGGCUCAUUCUGACGCUGAGGAACGGAAGCGUGGGUAGCAAACAGG